This 540-nucleotide ribosomal RNA is filed under the name uncultured delta proteobacterium. RNAcentral's name for it is "bacterial SSU rRNA". It matches the Rfam family "Bacterial small subunit ribosomal RNA", at positions 8 to 524 of the family's 1533-position model. Lineage: Bacteria; Deltaproteobacteria. The record is from RNAcentral.
AGAGUUUGAUCCUGGCUCAGAACGAACGCUGGCGGCGUGCUUAAGACAUGCAAGUCGUGCGAGAAAGUUCCUUCGGGAGCGAGUAAAGCGGCGCACGGGUGAGUAACGCGUGGGUAAUCUGCCCGAGGGUCUGGGAUAACUCCGGGAAACUGGGGCUAAUACCAGAUGAGACCACGCUGUCUGCGGACAGCGCGGGAAAAGGUGGCCUCUGCUUGCAAGCUACCGCCUACGGAUGAGCCUGCGUCCCAUUAGCUAGUUGGCGGGGUAACGGCCCACCAAGGCAGAGAUGGGUAGCUGGUCUGAGAGGACGACCAGCCACACUGGAACUGAGACACGGUCCAGACUCCUACGGGAGGCAGCAGUCGGGAAUUUUGGGCAAUGGGCGAAAGCCUGACCCAGCGACGCCGCGUGAGGGAUGAAGGCCUUCGGGUCGUAAACCUCUGUCGGAAGGGGCGAAAGGUUCUCGAGCGAAUAGGUCGAGGGCUUGACGGUACCUUCAAAGGAAGCGCCGGCUAACUCCGUGCCAGCAGCCGCGGUAAU